RNAcentral lists this ribosomal RNA (498 nucleotides) under uncultured bacterium. RNAcentral describes it as "partial 16S ribosomal RNA". It matches the Rfam family "Bacterial small subunit ribosomal RNA", at positions 28 to 507 of the family's 1533-position model. The record is from RNAcentral.
GACGAACGCUGGCGGCGUGCCUAAUACAUGCAAGUCGAACGAGAGCAACCGGUGCUUGCACUGGGCAAUCUAGUGGCGAACGGGUGAGUAACACGUGGGUAACCUGCCCAUCAGAGGGGGAUAACAUCCGGAAACGGAUGCUAAAACCGCAUAGGUCUUCGAACCGCAUGGUUGGAAGAGGAAAAGAGGCGCAAGCUUCUGCUGAUGGAUGGACUCGGGGUGCAGGAGCGAGUUGGUGAGGUAACGGCUCACCAAGGCUGUGAUGCAUAGACGACCUGAGGGGGUGGUCGGCCGCAUUGGGAGUGAGACACGGCCCAAGCUCCUACGGUAGGCAGCAGUAGCGUAUCUUCCGCAAUAGACGCAAGUAUGACGGAGCAGCGCCGCGUGAGCGAAGACGGUUUUCGGAUCGUAAAACUCUGUUUUUAGAGGAAAACCAGUGCUAGAGUAACUGUUGGCGGCUUGACGGUAUCUAACCAGAAAGCCACGGCUAACUACGUG